RNAcentral lists this ribosomal RNA (314 nucleotides) under uncultured Bacillota bacterium. Its description in RNAcentral is "bacterial SSU rRNA". It matches the Rfam family "Bacterial small subunit ribosomal RNA", at positions 28 to 351 of the family's 1533-position model. Lineage: Bacteria; Bacillati; Bacillota. The record is from RNAcentral.
GAUGAACGCUGGCGGCGUGCCUAAUACAUGCAAGUCGUGCGGGAUUCUCAGGAAUCCAGCGGCGAACGGGUGAGUAACACGUGGGCAACCUGCCCCUAAGACUGGGAUAACUCCGAGAAAUCGGAGCUAAUACCAGAUAAUCUUUUUCCUCGCAUGAGGAAAAGUAAAAGGCUUCGGCCACUUAGGGAUGGGCCCGCGUCGCAUUAGCUAGUUGGUGAGGUAACGGCUCACCAAGGCGACGAUGCGUAGCCGACCUGAGAGGGUGAUCGGCCACACUGGGACUGAGACACGGCCCAGACUCCUACGGGAGGCAG